Molecule: ribosomal RNA, 386 nt
Filed under: Terrisswalkerius windsori
Lineage: Eukaryota; Metazoa; Annelida; Clitellata; Crassiclitellata; Megascolecidae
Description: partial 12S ribosomal RNA
Rfam family: Bacterial small subunit ribosomal RNA
Source: RNAcentral
CCUAUUCAUGAUAAGAAUAACAUAGUCGGAUAUUACGAACUGCAGUUUAAAAUUCAAAGAUUUUGGCGGUGUCUUACAAAACCAGGGGAACCUGUCUCAUAAUUCGAUAGUCCACGACUACCUAACCUCUUUUUGACCCUCAGCAUGUGUACUGCCGUUGUAAGCAAACCCCUAAAAGUACAAAGUAUGCCCCAAUGAUUAAUUAGUAUAAUUAACUCAUUUACAUCAGGUCAAGGUGCAGCUAAUAAAGAGGAGAUGAUGGGUUACAAUCUAAAAAAAGAAAUGAAUUAAAAGAUUAAAAAUUUUAUAAAAGUGGACUUGACUGUAAUAAAAAAAUAUUAUAAAUAAAUGAAUACAUAUCUAAGACAUGCACACAUCGCCCGUCA